CUUAAGUUCUCAAAAAUAUCCAAAAUAUAAUUAAAAAAACUCUAAAUCCUUAUAUAUCCUUAUGGGAUAUUAUUCUUGAACUUCAAUGAUUCAUAUCUUCCAAUUGGAGCAUUCAAACACACUCAAAUUUUACAUGAAGUUUUAAUGUACUUCAAAAAACUACUUUAGCAAAGUUUAAUUGCAAAUUCAUCACAAAUCUUAAGAUAAUACCAAAAUCCUAACAAUAGCUUCAAAUCCUAGUUUUUAUAUACCUAUGAGCAAUUUUCUUUAUAUCACACAAACUAAGUACUCAAAUAUCUCAAAUUUUAUAUAUAUAGCUUUUUAACAUAUUAAUCUAUUUUGUUUAAAAUAUUUGAGCCAAUAAU
Molecule: long non-coding RNA, 365 nt
Filed under: Physcomitrium patens
Lineage: Eukaryota; Viridiplantae; Streptophyta; Bryopsida; Funariales; Funariaceae
Description: long non-coding RNA (PPAT_LNC005647)
Source: RNAcentral